UGGGGAAUUUUGGACAAUGGCGAAAGCCUGAUCCAGCAAUGCCGCGUGUGUGAAGAAGGCCUUCGGGUUGUAAAGCACUUUUGUCCGGAAAGAAAUCCUUGGCUCUAAUACAGUCGGGGGAUGACGGUACCGGAAGAAUAAGCACCGGCUAACUACGUGCCAGCAGCCGCGGUAAUACGUAGGGUGCAAGCGUUAAUCGGAAUUACUGGGCGUAAAGCGUGCGCAGGCGGUUUGCUAAGACCGAUGUGAAAUCCCCGGGCUCAACCUGGGAACUGCAUUGGUGACUGGGCAGGCUAGAGUAUGGCAGAGGGGGGUAAAUUCCACGUGUGAGCAGUGAAAUGCGUAGAGAUGUGGAGGAAUA
Molecule: ribosomal RNA, 361 nt
Filed under: uncultured bacterium
Lineage: Bacteria
Description: partial 16S ribosomal RNA
Rfam family: Bacterial small subunit ribosomal RNA
Source: RNAcentral